RNAcentral lists this ribosomal RNA (2901 nucleotides) under Escherichia coli. RNAcentral's name for it is "bacterial LSU rRNA". It matches the Rfam family "Bacterial large subunit ribosomal RNA". The record is from RNAcentral. Lineage: Bacteria; Pseudomonadati; Pseudomonadota; Gammaproteobacteria; Enterobacterales; Enterobacteriaceae.
UUAAGCGACUAAGCGUACACGGUGGAUGCCCUGGCAGUCAGAGGCGAUGAAGGACGUGCUAAUCUGCGAUAAGCGUCGGUAAGGUGAUAUGAACCGUUAUAACCGGCGAUUUCCGAAUGGGGAAACCCAGUGUGUUUCGACACACUAUCAUUAACUGAAUCCAUAGGUUAAUGAGGCGAACCGGGGGAACUGAAACAUCUAAGUACCCCGAGGAAAAGAAAUCAACCGAGAUUCCCCCAGUAGCGGCGAGCGAACGGGGAGCAGCCCAGAGCCUGAAUCAGUGUGUGUGUUAGUGGAAGCGUCUGGAAAGGCACGCGAUACAGGGUGACAGCCCCGUACACAAAAAUGCACAUGCUGUGAGCUCGAUGAGUAGGGCGGGACACGUGGUAUCCUGUCUGAAUAUGGGGGGACCAUCCUCCAAGGCUAAAUACUCCUGACUGACCGAUAGUGAACCAGUACCGUGAGGGAAAGGCGAAAAGAACCCCGGCGAGGGGAGUGAAAAAGAACCUGAAACCGUGUACGUACAAGCAGUGGGAGCACGCUUAGGCGUGUGACUGCGUACCUUUUGUAUAAUGGGUCAGCGACUUAUAUUCUGUAGCAAGGUUAACCGAAUAGGGGAGCCGAAGGGAAACCGAGUCUUAACUGGGCGUUAAGUUGCAGGGUAUAGACCCGAAACCCGGUGAUCUAGCCAUGGGCAGGUUGAAGGUUGGGUAACACUAACUGGAGGACCGAACCGACUAAUGUUGAAAAAUUAGCGGAUGACUUGUGGCUGGGGGUGAAAGGCCAAUCAAACCGGGAGAUAGCUGGUUCUCCCCGAAAGCUAUUUAGGUAGCGCCUCGUGAAUUCAUCUCCGGGGGUAGAGCACUGUUUCGGCAAGGGGGUCAUCCCGACUUACCAACCCGAUGCAAACUGCGAAUACCGGAGAAUGUUAUCACGGGAGACACACGGCGGGUGCUAACGUCCGUCGUGAAGAGGGAAACAACCCAGACCGCCAGCUAAGGUCCCAAAGUCAUGGUUAAGUGGGAAACGAUGUGGGAAGGCCCAGACAGCCAGGAUGUUGGCUUAGAAGCAGCCAUCAUUUAAAGAAAGCGUAAUAGCUCACUGGUCGAGUCGGCCUGCGCGGAAGAUGUAACGGGGCUAAACCAUGCACCGAAGCUGCGGCAGCGACACUAUGUGUUGUUGGGUAGGGGAGCGUUCUGUAAGCCUGUGAAGGUGUGCUGUGAGGCAUGCUGGAGGUAUCAGAAGUGCGAAUGCUGACAUAAGUAACGAUAAAGCGGGUGAAAAGCCCGCUCGCCGGAAGACCAAGGGUUCCUGUCCAACGUUAAUCGGGGCAGGGUGAGUCGACCCCUAAGGCGAGGCCGAAAGGCGUAGUCGAUGGGAAACAGGUUAAUAUUCCUGUACUUGGUGUUACUGCGAAGGGGGGACGGAGAAGGCUAUGUUGGCCGGGCGACGGUUGUCCCGGUUUAAGCGUGUAGGCUGGUUUUCCAGGCAAAUCCGGAAAAUCAAGGCUGAGGCGUGAUGACGAGGCACUACGGUGCUGAAGCAACAAAUGCCCUGCUUCCAGGAAAAGCCUCUAAGCAUCAGGUAACAUCAAAUCGUACCCCAAACCGACACAGGUGGUCAGGUAGAGAAUACCAAGGCGCUUGAGAGAACUCGGGUGAAGGAACUAGGCAAAAUGGUGCCGUAACUUCGGGAGAAGGCACGCUGAUAUGUAGGUGAAGUCCCUUGCGGAUGGAGCUGAAAUCAGUCGAAGAUACCAGCUGGCUGCAACUGUUUAUUAAAAACACAGCACUGUGCAAACACGAAAGUGGACGUAUACGGUGUGACGCCUGCCCGGUGCCGGAAGGUUAAUUGAUGGGGUCAGCGCAAGCGAAGCUCUUGAUCGAAGCCCCGGUAAACGGCGGCCGUAACUAUAACGGUCCUAAGGUAGCGAAAUUCCUUGUCGGGUAAGUUCCGACCUGCACGAAUGGCGUAAUGAUGGCCAGGCUGUCUCCACCCGAGACUCAGUGAAAUUGAACUCGCUGUGAAGAUGCAGUGUACCCGCGGCAAGACGGAAAGACCCCGUGAACCUUUACUAUAGCUUGACACUGAACAUUGAGCCUUGAUGUGUAGGAUAGGUGGGAGGCUUUGAAGUGUGGACGCCAGUCUGCAUGGAGCCGACCUUGAAAUACCACCCUUUAAUGUUUGAUGUUCUAACGUGGACCCGUGAUCCGGGUUGCGGACAGUGUCUGGUGGGUAGUUUGACUGGGGCGGUCUCCUCCUAAAGAGUAACGGAGGAGCACGAAGGUUGGCUAAUCCUGGUCGGACAUCAGGAGGUUAGUGCAAUGGCAUAAGCCAGCUUGACUGCGAGCGUGACGGCGCGAGCAGGUGCGAAAGCAGGUCAUAGUGAUCCGGUGGUUCUGAAUGGAAGGGCCAUCGCUCAACGGAUAAAAGGUACUCCGGGGAUAACAGGCUGAUACCGCCCAAGAGUUCAUAUCGACGGCGGUGUUUGGCACCUCGAUGUCGGCUCAUCACAUCCUGGGGCUGAAGUAGGUCCCAAGGGUAUGGCUGUUCGCCAUUUAAAGUGGUACGCGAGCUGGGUUUAGAACGUCGUGAGACAGUUCGGUCCCUAUCUGCCGUGGGCGCUGGAGAACUGAGGGGGGCUGCUCCUAGUACGAGAGGACCGGAGUGGACGCAUCACUGGUGUUCGGGUUGUCAUGCCAAUGGCACUGCCCGGUAGCUAAAUGCGGAAGAGAUAAGUGCUGAAAGCAUCUAAGCACGAAACUUGCCCCGAGAUGAGUUCUCCCUGACCCUUUAAGGGUCCUGAAGGAACGUUGAAGACGACGACGUUGAUAGGCCGGGUGUGUAAGCGCAGCGAUGCGUUGAGCUAACCGGUACUAAUGAACCGUGAGGCUUAACCUU